AGAAGAAAAGCUAGAUUCUAGCCUCGAGUUUCACAAUUUUAGUAACAGCACUUGAAGAGGAUAGUAGAAGAUGAUGGGCGGUAAAGAGAGCAUGCAGACUGUAUCCCUUGAGGAUGAUGAAGAGUUGACCUCGAAAUCCCACUCUAAUUAUCGAAGUGCCAUGACUUCUCUUUCUGAUUCCCACCACCCUCUUUCCCCGUCGAUCGUCGCUACACCUGCCGAUUACGACCCCUUGUUAGCUCCUCAAACCCACAUUCUUCAUGUUGAACAACAACUUAACCCUAACGAUUUGACAAUGCCGCCUCCUCCUCCUCCUCCUCCUCCUCCGCCUUUAAACUUGGAGUAUUUGAAUAUCAUUGUUUCCGAUCCACACAAGGAAAUGGAAUCAUCAUCUGCCUCAAUUGUUCCCGGAAGUAAUACUUACGUUACCUAUUUAAUCACCACAAAAACCAAUUUACCCGAUUAUGGAGGAUCCGAUUUCAGCGUGCGGAGACGCUUCAAAGACGUAGUUACUUUAUCUGACCGAUUGAGCGAAGGUUAUAGAGGAUAUUUUAUUCCUCCCAGGCCGGACAAAAGUGUGGUGGAGAGUCAAGUGAUGCAAAAGCAAGAGUUUGUGGAGCAAAGAAGGCUGGCAUUGGAGAAGUACUUGCAGAAGCUCGCAUCACAUCCACUCAUCAAGAAGAGUGAUGAAUUGAGGGUCUUUUUGCAGGUGGAUGGUAAGCUUCCCUUGCCAACCACCACUGAUGUCGCAUCUAGGGUUUUGGAUGGAGCAGUGAAGUUGCCAAAGCAGUUGUUCGGGGAAUCGGGAAAUGUGAUUGGGCCCCAGGAUGUUGUGCUGCCCGCUAAAGGUGGUAAGGAUUUGCUCAGGUUGUUCAAAGAAUUGAAGCAGUCCGUUGCCAAUGAUUGGGGUGGCUCCAAGUCACCUGUCGACGAUGGCGAUAAGGAUUUCCUGCAAAAGAAAGAAAGGUUGCACAAUCUUGAGCUGCAACUAAGUAAUGCCUCAAAGCAGGCUGAAUCACUUGUUAAAGCUCAGCAAGAUAUGGGGGAGACGAUUGGAGAACUUGGGCUAGCAUUUAUUAAGUUGACAAAGUUUGAGAAUGAACGAGCUACAGUGAAUACUCAGAGAGAACGGGCUGCUGAUAUGAGAAACGUGGCAACUGCAGCUGUUAAAGCCAGCAGAUUGUAUCGGGAGUUAAAUUCACAGACAGUGAAGCAUUUGGAUAUUCUACAUGAACACCUGAGUCUAAUGUUGGGCGUACACCAUGCAUUUUCAGACCGAUCAAGUGCUUUAUUGACACUGCAGACUCUCAUUUCGGAGUUAUCUUCUUUAAAUUCAAGAGCAGAGAAACUUGAAACAGCAACCUCUAAGAUAUUUGGAGGUGAUAAAUCAAGGGUUCGAAAGUUGGAAGAGUUAAAAGAUGCCAUUAGGGUCACUGAAGAUGCCAAAAGCUGUGCCAUCAGGGAAUAUGACCGCAUUAAGGAAAAUAAUCGAAGUGAGAUAGAUAGAAUAAAUAGAGAAAGGCAUGUUGACUUUGUGAACAUGUUGAGAGGAUUUGUAACUAGUCAGGUUCUAUGAUGGCAUGUUUUUUGCUGAAGAUAUUGCAAUUAAUUGACGAAACUAGCAAGGAAGUCAAUGAAACGCUGCAAUUACGGAGAAACACAUUAAGACUAAGGAUAUUAAGAUGCAACGAGAACCUGUGGGCUGGAUGAGGCACCAGUCUCUAGGUGUACCAAGAACUUCGCAGGAUGAUCAAGGGGAAGUUGUCUCAAGAUACCAAUGAUCUCUCUAGACGUUUUGGAAAUGGACCACCUGUUUCUACUAUAUGGUGGCUUAUGCAGAGAGAAUUGGACAAGAGUGGUCGAAAGUUGCAGAGGAGACCAGUCGUUAUUCAAGAGAGAGUGCAUAAAACGUAUGCUGUAAAAUCAGAUAUUACCUUUUCCAUCUUUCAUUUUCGUGUCAAUUGAUUGUACAGUGGGAAACUAGAAGACACAUCUAUACUCUAAAGUUUACCUAAGUUUCCCACUCUUAAUAAGUUUUUUCACACUUGAAGAAUUAUUUUCUUGUUUCUGAAUAAAAGGUUUCCAUUUGAAGAAUUGUAUGAACUGCUAACUGACAAGCAUGAAUCCGAACUGCAGUUCUGUGGCAUGAUGGCUUAUUUUCUGGACAGCAUUCAUGGCCAAAUUGAGGAACUAGUUUAAUUGUAAUUCAAUGUCAGCACCGUCUCUCUCAGUAAAAGGGAUAGUGCACAGAGCUUCCUUGCUGCUACCCCACUUGACUGCGCCUGUUUUAACACGAUUGACGAUCUAAGAAGUAGCCUGCUGAAACAAAAGCUUGAGCACGUCGUUUCUUCAAAUAUUGAGGUUCUCCAUUCUUUUUGACCUGACAUAAUUUAUCUCCAGAGUGCAAAUUCAUAAUGGGAUGUAUACUGGCAGCCCCGGUUUAGCCCUACGCAAGAGAACAAUUACGGUUGUGCAUGGUGUUUGAGAAUAAUACAAGUAGAUUUUCCUUGCUGCUAUACUUUUGCGAUGAGCCGAGUAUUCAUAUUUUUGUAUUUUCCAGAAUCCUUCUUAAAGUCUUGAAUAAAGUGUUCUAUAAGGGU
Lycium ferocissimum is the source of this 2600-nucleotide RNA transcript. It is a transcript of the gene named sorting nexin 2B-like, with no coding region annotated. The transcript has 7 exons. NCBI's taxonomy places the organism in Eukaryota, Viridiplantae, Streptophyta, Magnoliopsida, Solanales, Solanaceae. The record is from RefSeq and is a predicted model, not a curated record.